UAUUUGAGCGAAACAAAAAUAUAUAUACUCACCCUAAGGAAAGUCUACUUGCUUAGAAUGUGCUCUUUCAGAACUCAAAAGAUAUUUCACUCAAAGUCUUAAAGAAAUAUUUCACCCAAAAAUGAAAAUUCUGUUCUUCCUCAACUUGCAUGACUUUGUUGUUCAAAAGCAAAACAACGCUGGACCCCAUUGACUUUCUGCGGAUAAAAAAAAAAAAAAGUUUUCAUAAUUGUUUUCUUUAAUAUUCCACAGAGGAAAGAAAAUCAUUCAGGUUUGGAACGACAAGACAUUAUUUUUAUUCCUGGGUGAACUAUCCCUAUAAAGUUUUUGAUUAUGUUUCAUUAAUGUAUUAAUUGUGUCUGAUGCUUCUGCUGAAAUUUCUUAAAAUAAAUAUAAAGUUGACACAAAUAUGACAGUUGUUGGCAUUACAUGUAUAGAACCAUAAUUGAAUGUGGACAAAAAAUCCUUACAUACUUAAGUCUUGGAAGUUUUUGAUGAGAAAUCUUUCAAAAACUCGUUACUUUUCUAACUUUGGUAUCUUGGCAAGUUUGAAAGCACAGUUUGAAAGUUUUUCUUUCUGAAACUCUAGGAGACAUGUGGGUCUUUUUCCACAGGAGGGACAUGUGGAAAGACUUAAACCAAAGUUUUCAUUUGCUCUCCAUUAAAUCUUGUCAGUGUCCAGGAUAAACGAGUGAGAUGUUAGAGAUAACAUUUAUGUUUUUUCUUUCCUAUGUGCAUCUGAGACAUUUCCUCAUGAUGCAUGCACAAGAUCUUUCAUUUAUAACAUAUAUUAUUUAACAGCCAUGUGUAUUUUUUAAGAUUACGAUAAGUUGCCACCUGUUUCAACCAAUGAUUUUCAUACUUGAGCCAUGUUUUCUUUCAGAACUAGGAGAACAGUUAUGUCCAAGGUCAUCUCCCAAUGCUAGAACAGAUGACCACCUAAAAUUGGCCACAAACUUGGUCAAUUUACAGCCUGCGACUGGACGGGAGCAGCCUGAUGCCCCAUCCAUGGAGGAAUUUAAGCAGCUGGCAGAGAAGGAGAAACGCGCUGCCCUUAGACUCCAAGAGGAGGAGUGUGUGAGGAGGUGUGUGCAGGAUGCCGAGAGAAGCAUUCGUGAGGAGUGUGACAUGAAGGCAGAAAGAGAGAAACGGGCCCUACAGGACAGACAUGAAGAGGAGAAAUCUGAGCUACAAAACAGGUAAAAAAUACCCCUCCUGCUCACCCCAGCUUCCUGUUGUGAUGCAUCUCAGCUAUUCUCUUUCUCCUUCCCACCUUUUGUAAAUUUCAUUAGUUUCUCUUUUUGUAUCUCUCUGCUUUCUCCUUUCUCUUCGAGAAUCCUAGAAUAUAUAGAUUUUGUUGUCUUCAUCAACAGUUUCUCCACCACUUUCUUUCUUUCUUUUUUUUUUUUAAACAAUGUUCUGAAAUGGUGCAUGACGGUGCGUGUGUGUUCCAGGAUGCAGCAGCUGCGGGACAGUCUGGAGCAGGCCUGCAGGGAGCGCAUUCAGUAUGAAGCAGAGUUUAAGGUCAGCCCUUGUAAUGAGGUCAUCAUGAAUAAAUGAACGGCUCUAAAAAGGGACCUGCUCA
Molecule: long non-coding RNA, 1585 nt
Organism: Cyprinus carpio (common carp)
Lineage: Eukaryota; Metazoa; Chordata; Actinopteri; Cypriniformes; Cyprinidae
Source: Ensembl